This is a long non-coding RNA of Piliocolobus tephrosceles (Ugandan red Colobus), 1569 nucleotides long. The record is from Ensembl. Lineage: Eukaryota; Metazoa; Chordata; Mammalia; Primates; Cercopithecidae.
AUGCAGGAGGGCCCCUGUGCUGUUCACUCUCUGUCCAUCCAUCCAUCCGUUCAGCCUUCCAUCCAUCUAUCCAUCAUCCAUCCAUCCAUCUGUCCUUUCAUCCAUCCAUCAUUCAUCUAUCCUUUUAUCAUCCAUCUAUUCACCCAUCUAUCCAUCCAUUCACCUGUCCAUCUACCCAUCCAUUCAUCCUUCCAUCCAUCCAUCCAUUCUUCCAUUAUCUUCCCAUACAUCUGUGGGUCCUUCCACCCAUCCAUCCAUCCAAUCAUCCAUCCAUUCACCUGUUCGUCUUUCCACCCAUCCAUCCAUCAUCCAUUCACCUUUUCGUCCAUCCAUUUACCUGUUCGUCCAUCCAUCCAUCCUUCCAUCUAUCUUUCCAUCAUCCAUCCAACUGUUCAUCCUUCUGUCCAUCCAUCAUCCAUCCAUCCGUCCAUCCGUCAUUCAUCUGGUCACCUCUUCAUCCAUCCAUUCACCGGUUUGUCCAUCCAUCCAUCCAUCUUUCCAUUAUCCAGCCAUUCAGCUGUUCAUCCUUCUGUUCAUCCAGCCAUCUUCCAUCCAUCCAUGAUCCAUCCAUUCACCUGUCCAUCCUCCCAUCCAUUCAUUCAUCAUCCAUCCUUUUAUCAUCCAUCCAUUCACCCAUCCAUCCAUUCACCUGUUCAUCCAUCCCUCCAUCCAUCCUUUCAUCAUCCAUCCAUUAACCUGUUNNNNNNNNNNAUCCUUCCACCAUUUAUCCACUCGCCUCCUCAUCCUUCCAUCCAUCCAUCCAUCCAUCAUCCAUCCAUUCUUUUAUCAUCCAUCCAUUCAGCCACCAUCCAUCCACCUGUUCAUCUGUCCAUCCAUCCAUUCACCUGUUCAUCCUUCCGUUCAUCCAUUUAUCCCUUCAUCCAUAUAUCCAUCCAUCCUCCCAUCAUCCAUCCACUCACCUCCUGUUCACCCUUCCAUCCAUCCAUCAUUCAUCCAUCCAUCCGUUUAUCCAUCAUCCAUCCAUCCUUCCAUCCGUUCAUCCUUCCAUCUAUCCAUCACCCAUCCAUCUGUCCAUUCAUCCAUCCAUCCAUUAACUCUCUAUCCAUUUGCCUGUUCAUCCAUCUUUCCACCAGCCAUCCAUUCACCUGUUCAUCCUUCCAUCCAUCAUUCAUCCAUCCAUCCAUUUAUCCAUAUAUCCAUCCAUCCACUCACCUCCUGUUCAUCCUUCCAUCCAUCUCUCCACCCACUUAUCCAUCCAUCCAUCAUUCAUACAUCCUUUUAUCAUCCAUCCAUUCACCCGUCUAUCCAUCCAUUCACCUGCUCUUCCAUCCAUCAGUCCAUUCAUCCUUCCAUCAUCCAUCCUCCAUCCAUUUAUCCAUUCAUCUAUCCAUCCAUCCAUCAUCCAUCCAUCCAUCUGUUCCUCCUUCCAUCCAUCCAUUUAUCCAUCCUUCCAUCCAUCCAUCAUCCAUACAUAUUUCCAUUAUCCAUCCACUCACCUCCUGUUCAUCCUUCCAUGCGUCCAUCAUCCAUCCUUUCACCCAUCCAUCCACUCAUCUAUUCGUCCACCCAUAUAUCAUUCAUCCAUCCACCCACCAAUCUACCUAUUAA